RNAcentral lists this long non-coding RNA (283 nucleotides) under Lathyrus oleraceus (garden pea). RNAcentral's name for it is "Pisum sativum (pea) long non-coding RNA (PSAT_LNC007835)". Lineage: Eukaryota; Viridiplantae; Streptophyta; Magnoliopsida; Fabales; Fabaceae. The record is from RNAcentral.
UUUGUUUAGGCAGUUAUACAAUCGAUCUCGCUAUGGGCAUGUUUGCCAUCAAUUCGAACUAAAAUUGAGAUAACGAAAUUAACAUUACUUUGCAAAAGUAGUAUACAAGAGAAAUGUAGCAAUCCAACCCUACAAAUCCUAAGUUUGAUUUUGAUUCUGACACUUUCUCUUCCCUAGUUCAAAGCUUGAUUCAUCGUCUCACGCUACUUCUUUCCAAGAACCUUCAGUUCUUCAAAGCCUUCAAUCAAUCGAAUACAAAUUGUGAAUUGUUGUAACCCAAGAU